This 63-nucleotide transfer RNA is filed under the name Nephropsis grandis. RNAcentral's name for it is "tRNA-Arg". The record is from RNAcentral. Lineage: Eukaryota; Metazoa; Arthropoda; Malacostraca; Decapoda; Nephropidae.
AACUAGAAAGCGAAAUAUCGCACUUAAUUUCGACCUAAGCUUUGACGGACUCGUCUCUAGUUU